This 518-nucleotide unclassified non-coding RNA is filed under the name uncultured Glomus. RNAcentral's name for it is "SSU rRNA". It matches the Rfam family "Eukaryotic small subunit ribosomal RNA", at positions 569 to 1082 of the family's 1831-position model. The record is from RNAcentral. Lineage: Eukaryota; Fungi; Glomeromycota; Glomeromycetes; Glomerales; Glomeraceae.
AGCAGCCGCGGUAAUUCCAGCUCCAAUAGCGUAUAUUAAAGUUGUUGCAGUUAAAAGCUCGUAGUUGAAUUUCGGGAUCAAUAUGUUGGUCGUGCCUCGGUACGUACUAGCUUAUUGGUUUCUCCUUUCUGAAGAACCAUGAUGUCAUUUAUUUGGUGUCAUGGGGAAUCAGGACUGUUACUUUGAAAAAUUAGAGUGUUUAAAGCAGGCUCACGCUUGAAUACAUUAGCAUGGAAUAAUGAAAUAGGACGCUUGAUUCUAUUUUGUUGGUUUUAGGAUCGACGUAAUGAUUAAUAGGGAUAGUUGGGGGCAUUAGUAUUCAAUUGUCAGAGGUGAAAUUCUUGGAUUUAUUGAAGACUAACUACUGCGAAAGCAUUUGCCAAGGAUGUUUUCAUUAAUCAAGAACGAAAGUUAGGGAUCGAAGACGAUCAGAUACCGUCGUAGUCUUAACCAUAAACUAUGCCGACUAGGGAUCGGAUGAUGUUUAAUUUUUUAAUGUACUCUAUUCGGCGUACCCG